RNAcentral lists this ribosomal RNA (116 nucleotides) under Pteropus alecto (black flying fox). Lineage: Eukaryota; Metazoa; Chordata; Mammalia; Chiroptera; Pteropodidae. The record is from RNAcentral.
GUCUACAGUCAUACCACCCUGAACAAGCCCCAUGUCUGAUCUCAGAAGCUAAUCAGGGUUGGGCCUGGUUAGUACUUGAAUGGGAGACCACCUGGGAAGACCAGGUGCUAUAGGCA